UAUUACAGGAGGAAGAACUUCUAUUCCAUGAAGGAUAACCAUCUCAAUCCUUUGUUGGAUUUGGGUUGCGAAAAAAUAGAUAAGAAGGACUGUUCUACGCCCUUGCUCACCCCGGACAGCUAAUAAAUUGUACAGUAAGUAUAUGGAUUAUUAUUGCAGUUUUGUCUUUAUCUGGUAUCUGACUCACUGUUAUGUAGUUAUUGAACACUACAGUUAACUACCAACGACUACAUUUAAAAUACUGA
This 245-nucleotide long non-coding RNA is filed under the name Nicotiana benthamiana. RNAcentral's name for it is "long non-coding RNA (NBEN_LNC037959)". The record is from RNAcentral. Lineage: Eukaryota; Viridiplantae; Streptophyta; Magnoliopsida; Solanales; Solanaceae.